GAGAAAAACUAAAUAAUAUCAUUGAAAAAAAAUACAGAAAAACGUGAAAUACAAAACAUGUGACUUUACAUAAAUUUUUCGUUAAUAUUUUUCGAAAUAACGAGUUCUUCUCUAGGCCCUAGUAGACCGAAUUCGGAAACGCUAAUGUUCGCACGUUCUUUCAAGCGAUGAGAACAUACGUCGCUCCACCAUGACCGACUACGCACCUUAAUUGCGCGUACGAUUAUACCAGGAUGACCCCCGGGUGUCGUCGUUGACCUUAGGAGAGUUUCCAUUCCCCUUAAAUUCCUGCAUUUCGCAAUUGGCGGAUGCCCGGCUCUACGCGUUCCCGGGCACGUACGUACACACAGGUGCGUAUGAGCGGCCGUGUCAAACGCGUUAGGGUCUUUGACGAGCGUUUCAUACGUGACUGAGAGGUGAGAUGAACGAGAGACCGGUGAGGUAGAAUAUGAGAAGGUGAAAAGAAGACAGGCUGCCGUCUGUAUGUCCGACAGUACGCGAGGCGCAUACGGAAAAUAUGAGUUCAAUGUCAGGCCGACGAUCCGCUACGAUUCCCCCUCGUUCCCCCGGAAUAGUUUUUUUAUCCAUCGUCGUGACGGUCGCGUUGCGUCUUGCGUAACUGGCCUAAAUACCAAUCGCCACAUCCUGGCCAGACAAUCGCGAAUGCAACUAGAUGCAGAUAGAUUCUCCACCGCGGAUAGAGUCUCACCGAAGUCUCCCAUCGUUCGGUGACUCCGUUUAGCACGAAGAUGACGAUCUCGCGAAGGAAGAGUUUCUACGAGCGUGAAAUGUCGCGAGCACUGCGAGGCACGUCGGGCUGUGUCGAUGAAAGAAAAGGAUGGAAGGUAGCGAGAUAAAUAAAAUAAACGUUAAUUACGCGAGUUAGUAAAUGCAUAAUUAUCGAUCUGUGAGAACUUGCGUCUACGCACUUCGAUUUAUGAAUGCUUCUGAUGACAACACGCGCGAUCUUGUGAGAGAUGCAAUCGCGUUUAAGUAACAACUCGAUCACCGCGGCGCAGAACGUAAUUAAUCGAGAGAUGAAACAAGUCGAGAAGGCAAAAUCGCGUCGGGGAACACGUUUCGUGUACCUGUAUAUAACGUAAGCAUGUACAUCUUCUGCUGACUGAAAUUGGAAUCGCGCUGCAAUUUCUCGAAGGUGAGCGGUGGCGCCAAAAUUGCAAAACCGGUUAAUUUAGAAUUUCGGCGCCGCGACAGCUCGCCGAUCGACCGGCCGACCAACGGGUCCGAAUGCAGCUUCUGCUUCGGUAACGGGCCUGCGGGAUGUGCGUCGGUUCUAAAAAUACAUCUUACUUAACCCCUUCCCCGAGAACGCGCGCGAACGCCGAUGCGAACGUACGCGCGCGCCGCGCGCGGUUAUUUUAAUUUAUCUCUUCACAUUUCCUACUUAUGUCACGACUGCCUUUUCUCGGGUGCAAUCGAAAUAUUCUCGAGAAGGGGGGUUUUUUUUUUCUUUACGAGCUCGCAUAUAACUCAUCUCACGGAGAUCGCACAACCCCGUUCCUUACUCGCCAGCGAGAUGUACGAGGCACGGAGAAUACUUGUACGCGGAGUCAAAAAGUCGCUAUAAAUAACCGCGCGAUAUUCAAUCACAAUGUUUAACAAUCCAGUUUCACAUGCCAAAGCAUUAUAAAAUACAUCCAAAUGCAUAUUUUCGUACUCGCUUUUUUUUCCACGCGAACCACGAGCCGGCGUGAAGAAUGUUCCUUACGUAAAAGAGAAUGUUAACAUACGUUGCCGGCGGCCUAUGAAAAUUGUUGUGUUACACACAGAGUGGAGAAUUUGCCUAGCCUGUGACCAACGGGAACGUUAAGAACGAAACCCGGGAAGGGGGGGGGGGGGAGAGGGGGAGAGCGUUAUAAUUUUAGUUUCGCAAAGGGUGGAAUUUUUAACUCGCGAACGGCCUGGAAUUCGACCUGGCGCGGCCAAAGCGCGAUCUCUCGCGCCGCGCCGGCAUGAGAUCACUCAAUUGCAUGGCCUUAAAUACUUUAGAACACCUUUAGGAAUAAUGCCACGACGCGAAACGCGAUACGCCGCGCGACGCCGCCGCGCCGCUGCCACACCACGCGCGUGUACAGCUUGACAGGUAUCGCGUAAUUGAUAUUACGAAAAAACAUUGCGAAACAAGGGAGAGAGGGAGCGUCGCCGUCAGCCGGGGAGUUUCUUCGUUUCCAGGCGAUUUCGUGCAAAAUAAUUAGCGACGGGGCACCGGGGUAAAAAAAAAGGAAAAAAAAAGAGAGAGGGAAAGAGCGAAAUCGGACUCCCUGGGGUACCUUGUACCAAUCUCCGCUAAUGUCCAGCGAGAUUCCCUGCCCUGCCCCCUUGAUUGCCUUCGUGCUAUAUCGAGAACCUUGCACUUGACAGUAUAUACGCCGAACGUUCGCCCGAGUCCUCGACCUUCGACAUAUUGCGUUAUGUGCAGAUUUUCUGACGUCAUGAUUUUCCAUUUUUGCGUUGAUUUCAAUGCAUCCAUGUUUGUGACGUAAUUUGUUAUCUUAAUUAUUUGACAUUUGUUAGGAAAAAUAUGCAGGUCCCGAAAGUAGCAUAAAUCCUAAAGUGUACCACGCGUUAAUUUCGAAGUUGAUUCUCGUAGAAAAAAAAAUGUCCGAUUGCAUUUCCUCGUAAUAUAGGUGCCCUGUUAAAUGCUAAUGUGAUCUUAAAUGCAUUUAAAUACACUCCAAAUACAACAAUUGCGCGCGGUGACGAUUUUUCGACAUGCGCAGCCACAUCAGGCCAGGUGAGCGAUCAUGAGAUACCGCUUAAUGGCGGACGUGAUUGCUCGAAAUCGAUUUUGCUUCACUGUACGCUCGAUCGGACGGAUAAAAACAUCUCCCUCGACGUUUUCGCGGUUCGCCGAUUAAGAAAAAGCGCGCACGGACGAUCGUUCGAUCGCGUAUCGCGCGUGAUUCGUCAGCCUGAAGCAACGAUGCGUCCUUUCAGCGCGAUUUAUCGGAACCGCUCGAUUAAUAAGAGAUAAAUCAUAAUUGAGUGCAAUCUCAAUUUAUUAUUGUAUAUGCAGCAAUCAAUAUGCAAAUCUUUUGCAAGUUAACUGGUUAUUCAAAACAAAAUACAGUUUUACGCAAGUGCAAAAAAAUAAAAUACAUUUUUUUCAUAAAAAAAUUACAGACAAAAUUCUUUUAAUGUUAAUAUCCGUGUUUUGUUUAAAUAAGAAUUUUAAAAUAGAAUAUUUAAUUAAAUCUUUGUAUUAUACCUGUUUCAAAUUUUAUUUUGAAUCAAUGAUAAUUCUAUAUUUUCUCAAUCACGUCUUUCAUCAAUGAAACUUCAAGUGGAUGAUAUCAUAAUUACAAACAAAGAUAAAAAAAAAGAUGAAGAGUUAUUGGUACUUGACAUUCAUCGAUUGCAUCUGACUUUAAGUAUCAAUUGACUUCAUAAUAGAACAGAUCGAUAUCUUGAAGUAAGCAAUCGUAUAAACUUGUUCACAUUUCACAACUCAUAUUGAACGUAAAAGAACAACAAGCGGUUGUGAUAAUUUACUUCAUUGCCAUAAUGAUCCAGUCAGAAACACAAUCCUUUUAUUCCUGUAGAAAUUGACUCGAAAUGUAAUAAAAGGAACGAUUACGGAGGUCGAUAUGACGCUUUCUGUUUUUUUUUUUGCUUAAAGGGCUCUCGCAGUUCGUAAACAACAUUAAAAUAGCUCUUGCCAACAUUGACCUAGAUGGAGUGAAUAGCAUCUGUAUGGAAAAAAGUAUUUUGGAUGAUAAUCUCCAGCCAUUCUCUUUAACAAAAUUACAGUGUAAAAAAGAUUGAUGUUUGUCAGUAAUAUUCGUUUCAAAAAAUUUCUAGAAACUCUUGACCUCUCUAUCAAUGGCUGACAAACGCAACAAUAAAUAAGACAUUGACGAAAUUCAGACGUUACGACAUGAUAACAAAUUAAUAUCCUAGUAAAGCUAAAUAAAAAAUUAAGAUUCUUAAAUAUUGUGUUUCAAUGUAACAUGGACUCCCCGAUACAUAAUAAUUGAGGGAAAUAAAAAUAUGUCAAAAUUGAAGGUAGAUAUCAUUUGUUUUACAAUACAAUUGUUUUACGUUCUGUGAUAUAUUUUUGUGCCAACAGAUUUAACUAAAAACCUGUAAAUAUAAACAAUGGUGGUUUCAGUAUAUUAUUUCCGGUAUAUUAUGCCAGAGAAAUAAACUGAGUGUUGCAAUAGUUUUUAUCUUAAUAACAUCAUUAUGCAAUUGGUAUCUUCACUCAAUUGCUGGGGUUUUGCAUUAACCGACAGCUUGCAUUCGCAGAUAGCUUUGCCAUUGGAUUAAUUGCGAAUAACGUAUGCGUCACGCGUGUUCGCUUAUACUCACGACGAAUUCAUCUGUGAUACUAUCCAGACUUGGAGACAAGCGAAUAGAGGACACUGCGACGAUAAAUGCACACGAAGGAGCUUGUCAGCGCAAAAUCAUGCCAUUGUGAUGAAUCAAUGAUGCCGGGAAUUCGAAUAAAUGCAGGUAUCUCGAACAUAUGUCUUUCUGUCUCUUGUCCGCGAUCAAAUAUCGAAUUCGCUGUAGAUGUAAUUCUCAUCGUCCAAAAAAAGGGCUGCGGCAUCUUCGACUCACCUAGGCUGUCAAAACAGCUCCUUGCCAGUCCCUGACCCACAUGCCUGACUUGCUGCAUUUAUGUAUUAAAAAAAAAAAAAAAAAAAAAAGAAGAGAGAAGCUUUUUCGAACGUUCUCUUCACCAAUAAUCACGAUCCGUCACGACCGAGCACCGGACAUCGUCGAAUCACGCAUUUGCUCCGCACGGGAGGUAUCGACUUAUCGAUGAUCACGCUGUCCGAUCCUGCUCGGAUCGCGUACAUGACGUUACAUGCCAACCGUUGUACAUACAUGAUAAUCAUACGGUGAAAUAAUUACAGUAUGUUCGGAUAAUAAAGACAGAGAGAAGAAUAAGAUCGAGAGUUUUCGAAAUAUCGGAGUAAUCGCCGUGAUUAAAACCAAUUAGCGAUAUCACCUCGUAAAGUGCCUCUCCUCAUUUACGGAUCUGCCCAUCCGGUGCAGACUGCUUUUUUUUCUUUCCGUCAUAAGACAUUUAAAUAUAGCUCAUUUCAUAACAAAUAUCGCAACUACAGCAUAACGUAGAUAAUCAUUCAACUGUGCUUCAAUUUCUCAAAUUCACUUUCACUAGUCUAAACACCCCCUUCCCUUCCCCUCCCCCCAAAAACCGAAGAACGCUGAUUUUCCCACCCAUUGUACAGUUAACACGCACAGAAUUAUUUUCAUAGCACAGUACGCGUGCUAACGUAACAGGGCGCCCUCAGAAUUGUAAGAAUGUUAAAAAAGCACAAGUAUUAGAAGCAGCUUACCAAUCGAAAUAUUGCGGAGCCUCUAAGUGCGUCUCAUAGACGCUUAUAUAAUUUCACCGCGAGCCGCUGCGUCGACUUGUCACUUGAUUAAAAUAAGCAUCCGUUAUGUAAAUGAUAUCGUAGUGCAGAUACGCGCAUAUUAAAGCGCCUCUGGAGAGACGUGGAAAAACACGGGAGAGAAAUGAGAGAGACACGGAAGAUAAAACGGCGGGACGUACAAGCCCGACGUCUCGCGAUUCGACUCUCUGAAUGCGCGCAUUGUGUUUGGCUCUCCUUCGUAAAUUGUCUCGCGUCGCGACUCUGCCGAGUGCAACAGCCCGGGCGGCUCCGCAGCCGGUAAGAGCUGCUGCUCAAGCUCUCGCCGUAAUGCGCAAUUCGUGGGAUAACUUCGACAUUAUCUCCGUUCUCAUUAAUCGCGCGCGCGCGCCAUUUUUUCCGAACGCGAUGCAAAUUGAGGUCCCGCUUAACGGCAAUGACGACGGGAGCGGAGAGUGCGUGCGCUCACGGGGAGGGGGGACCCGGCCAAAAUACGGCGUUUCGUUUUCUCAGGUGCAUCCAUGACCCAGAUAGUGCGGAUACUACGCAUCCUCCGGGCGCGAAAGCGAAGACGCGCGCGCGCGCGCGCGAGCGAGCGAUAUGUAACCAGGCGCGGAAGGAUUUCCUCCUCGAUUUCGAUCGUUCGGAUCUUUUUGCUCGCGCGAGGCGGCGGCGGCGGCGACGGCGCCGCGCGCUCACGGUUCCUCAUCGACGCUCGUAUUUCGUCGGAUAUGCGUCGCCGCCCGCCAGGCAGCUUUGCUGGCCACGUCCCACCGCGUAGCUGGAUGAGCGCGCGAACGGUCGCGCGGUACUGGGACAAGGUUGCCUGGGGCCCAUAACUAUCGCGCGCGCUGACACACAACAAUGCGCGUUUCUUACGAGCGAUUCACAGUGGAUCGCGUCUUGCGUUAUCUCUUUUCUUCCCGCCGAUACGUCUCUUUCCCCCUUUCGUACCUCAUCCCGCUUGCUCUCCUCUCCCUUUCUCUCUCUCUCUCUCUCUCUGUCUUUCGCCCAGUCCACUUGGGCCCUCUCCCAGGCCCCUACCAACAAACUCUCGGGGGUUCGGAUGCCUCUGCCCCUUCCACGAAGAUCGCGGGGGGGCCCUCGAUCCCCCUUCUCCGUGACAGUUCUCUCUCCCGUCUUUCCCCGUUCCUAGCAGGACGCGCCUUCCUCGGAUCAUUCGAUCCCCCGCGGGAGGCGACACUCGGUUUUCGAUCUUUGAAUACCGUGGCACCGCCACCGCGAUGACCAGUCUUCGAAUCACGGGCGAAACCCGCAUGUCUCUCCGCGUAUCUGCAACGUACCACCUCACGUUCCCGCGUUGUGUCGCGGAUGAAUAUUUUACAAAGUAAUCUCGUUCGACUUCUACCCGAGGUCGCACUUCAGUUCACCGCAGUCGUUUCGUCAUAUUUCGGGCGCUUCAUAAUUUACCGAAAGGCAGGAAAGUGAAAUUGAAUGACGACCGAAAUCGGUGCGCCAUUGAGAAGGUCAUCAUCUCGCGCGAGCUAAUUGGGGAGGUACGAUCGGUGCAUCUUAAGAUCCACGCGAUCUUCGAGAUACGUCGAAUUGUCCUUGAUCGAAAUGUUGACAGAGAGCUUAAAACGGCAAGCGAGCUGUUGGUGCGUUGACGCGAUCGGUGAUGAACGACUCGUCAUAAAAAGUUUACAAACAAGAAGAGGAACGAUUGGGGCCGCCUAAAGAAUCCCCUUACGGAUUUCGGCGCACGUCUUCUUUCAUUGUACACAGUUAUUUAUGCACUGGUUACGCAAUCGAUAACUCAGGUUUUCGGGAUCGGCUAUGCACUUUUUAGGAACCGAGGUCACGUCGACCCGCCGAAACACGCACUCGAUAAACGGAAGAUACAACAGAUAAUUUCUUCCGUGUAUUUCAAAUCGAAUACCGAAUAUAAUUUGCGCUGAAAAACAAUAGAACCAGUAAUAAUUAUAAAAUAAAAUUAUUAUAAUUAUUAUUAGCUUAUAAUAACUUUUAAUCCAAACCUCAUAAGGUCAGUACUAUAAAUAUAUAAAUUAUAACUUCUAUUAUACAAAUUGGGUCUCAAAACCUUCGAAUCAAAGAUAGAAUUUUGAAUUAGUAAAAAAAAUUUGCUGUAAGCUUUAUUUUUCCGACGUUGAGAUGUUAAAAGGAACAACAAGUGACUAUUCUCGGAUUAAUCACACUAACGCCACGCGCGUAUAAUCUGAUCAGCCGGAUGCACGCAAUAUAAAUUAUAAGAUAUUUGUUGAUGCACCUUUUUGCGAUCAUCAAUAAUUCGCUUUCGUCGGCACGGAAGUUGUAACCUACGGGCAGGCACACCUUGAACUGUCACUUUUAUCCAUGCGAAAGUAGAAACGUGCACGCGACGUUUCGCCGGUGCGUACGGCGUCGCCUAAUAGCCGCCGUAGACUUCGCGCGCUUCCAAGGCGAUUUCAUUGACACGGCGGCGACAGCGAUAACUCUACUACGCCGUCAUCGGGGUUUCCGUGAAAGUGGUACAUACGAAAUGUUCACGGUCGGGAGGUCAUUGUGUCGGAGAAAUAGCCGGCACAAAUCGUGGUGUAAUCAUUAAGAACAGAGAAAAUUUAAAUUAUUACUAUUCGAUUAACUAAAUUAUAAAUUAGAAAGUGACUAUUGCGCAAUGUGCAAUCGGCGACGGUCCACGCGAGGUUCCGUCUAAACAUCAUUAAAAUUCUAAUAAGAAUUAGAGGUUGUGUGCGUUGAGAGAACGCGGAAACGUUUAUUAACAAUUGAGGUACAGAAUAGACUCACGUGAUUUAGUAACAGCCAAAUUGGACCCAUUUACCACUUGCGAUUAUACUAUUAAGAUGACUGUAGCCAACCUGUUGCCAGAGUUGUGUAAAAUUCUGUUAGAAAUUCUCGUAGGGGAAAAAAACACCUCUAGCGUCUAAGACAGCUUGAGAAUCACUACGGCAUAUUCCGAAACCGCUUUCUUAAUAUUUACAUUUGCGCGUUAAGUGCAAAUUAUGACGUUGUAAACGUACGCGUAUCCCUCGAGGGUUAAUUCACUUUGUCUUUUUGUUGUCGCAUUACUCCGGUAAGAGUACUAUCAAGGCUGACUAUAAUUGCCCGCCAGGAUCACUAAUAAUUUAAUUCCGUGAAUAAGAGCUAAGUAUCAUAAUAUACAUAUAUCUCGCAAUUUCUUUCUAUCUCGGAGCUAAGAAAGACCAUGAAAGCUGGUCGAACAGCCAAGUUUAUCAUGCUUUUUAUAUGCGUUCGAUUUAAUCUUUUUGCUCCGAGUGCAGCGCAAUACGGACGACGGGGUGCAACGCCCUCUGAAUGCUCGCGUGCCUGCUGCCUCCUGUGCCCUUGGAGGAUCCUCCUAUGGAGUGUGCGAGAGCAAAGACGGACUCGCGGUAAAGUGAUGCGAGCAAAAUGAUACCGGGCAUCAUGAGCAUCAUUCCGUGCUUGCCCCCCUGCGUAUGCGUAUAAUCACGUUUAGUCCUCGUCAUGCGCGAUGAUGCGGCGUCGCGCGCGGUUGUGCAUUAAAAUCUGGCGGUGCAUUCCGAAACGGACGCACAAAGACGGAUGGGAUAUGAAUAGCAUGAGAGAGAGAGAGAGAUAGGAAUAAUAGAAUGACGAAAACCGAGUUGUUGUGUGUUGCCGCCGCUUUCACCAUUUCUUAGACACGAAUGCAAGAAAUGUUUGCGCCACGUAACGAGCUAAUAAACCGAUGCAUGUUUACAUAAGCUCGUCGUUAUCAAUCUCCUUUUUUUCUUUUACUUGCGGAUUAUUACGGGAGCCGCAAUGAAAUGACAUUAUGUAAAUAUUAUUCCGCCCGUGAAUGAAAUCACGUGCCAGGCGUUACAAUAUCGAAUUGCAAAACAAUGAAAUCGCGGUGAGGAGAAACUCCUGGAGAAAAUAGAUAACACUUCUCGUAUUCAUUCAAGUGACGAGAUAUAAAAAUAUCGAAUAAAGAAAUUAUCUAAAAUGUAAAUCAAAUUAAUUUGUAUUAAACACACUCUUAAUUAAUAGCGCAAAAUUUAUAGAAACUAAUUUGUUGAGCUUAUUAAAGGCAAACAUAUUCAUUUAGUUGUAGUUAUAAAAAAAGAAAUGUGAAUAUAAAUAAAAAUAAAUAUAUAAAAAUUGUAUCUUGUUUUAUUUAUAUUUGCGCUUGGUUUCUUCUUGCAUGUUCAAGUAUUACAUGAGUGCUUUCACGGUCACAAAAUACGUGAGAGACCAUUACGAAUCCGAUAUUACGUUCACGCCAAAGAGUGCGAAAAAUAUCUCACCUUAUUGAAUGAAAAUCGGAGUGCAUUGAUCGACAAAUAACGUGUAACUUCAUUGGAAUAUAUAAAAUGGUAACAGAAUUACUUAUAAGACUGUUCGGUCAAAAGAAUUCAAGGUGACGUUUAAUAUUCGCCAAGAUAUAACUGUCAUUGUUUUGCUGAUUAACAAUCUUUUAACAAUUACAUACAUUUUUAAAAUGUAUGAAUUAUAUAUAUAUAUAUGUGUAUAUGUAUGUAUAAAGCAACGCUUAGAUACACGGAAGAAUGAUAUAAUUCUAUUGCGUUCCGCAAAAUGCCCCGUUAAAGUAUUAUUCCAUAAUAAUUUGUUGCACGAGGAAAACAUAAACCACAUAGAAAGACCUGUAAUUUUAUAGUAUUUUGCGCGACGAGCGACAGCGAUUACGCGAGCGUUUCGAUGCGCAAAUAUCUCCGCCUCGUAUAUAAAUUCCGAGAUCGUAAUCGGCGUAUGCUACUUGUAAAACGCUCAAAUUGUCGCGGCAUCGAAGGCUGCCCUUUAAUAAAUUGGAAACAAAAAGCGGCACAUCGCGCAUUUUCAAUGCUUCCGCUGCUCCCAUUUUCCUAUGGUCAUAAAAUUUUUUCUUGCCUACGGGUUACUUAAUGCCUCAGUCUUAAAAAAGACAUAAUGCACCGCAACCUUGCUGUUGCUUAUUAUACUUCCUUAUGCUACAAAAGCCUGGCUAGCUUGGCUGGGGAUAAAUAUUCCUCGUUAUAAAAUUGCAUGUUCGUACUUCAAUCUACGGGCUUCCGUAUUUCAUGAAAACUUCCUGAUAUAAGGCUUAUGCCAUAGACUUAGACUGUAAUACUUCAUAGUCUUGUUAGUAUUUUACAUCACUAUAAUUAUAUCCAGUACUUUCAUUGCUAUUUAUAAUCAGUAUUUUUAUUAUAUUUAUAUUCAAUAUUUAUUACUAUGCUUGAUAUUCGCAUAAAACUGCAAAAUAAUUUGUUCAAGCAAAACGGUUCAAUGUUACGUGAGAUAUUUAUGACAAAAAUAUUACAUAUUAUUAUAUUAAAGAUUGUACUUUAAAUGAAGCUAUAUCACUCGAUAAUAGAAAUGCAUGGCUUACUCCGCCAAAUCUCGAUCUUAUACUUUUGAUAUACAGCUCAACGAUUAUGACAGUAUUUGAUAAAUUGAUGCAGGUUAAACAGCAUAAAGAUAAAGUAUGAUAUUUUCCUUUAAGGAAGAAUACAUUUAAGGACAAAAUUUCCUUUCAUAAAUUAUCGUGCAGGCGCUUCUAACUUAUUAACAGCUUCUGUCGUCGACUCCUCUCGCGAUGAUACCCUUAGAGAAAAACAAAGACGAUUUGCGACCCCCGUGUAAGGGCGAUGGUCAAACUUAUUGCCGUUUCAGACUGAUAUUGUCUGGAUAAAAUCGUGCGCGACAAUCCGCCUUCGCUGGAUGUAAUGGAGCAGUGCAUAAUUAUAAGUUCCGGGUUCUGGGGACACACACAACCGGUGACUAAUCACAUAAUGUAUAUGUAUAUCGCGAGGAUAAAACGCCUUAGGCAAGAGAGCAAAACAACACGCUGCAAAAGCAGUAGUCGAGUACCGCUGCAACCGGUCGUCGUAUAUAAUUAAUGGAUAUGCAACUUGGGGAUUCCAUCCGUACAAAAACUUAAGUCGCUGCGGGAAACGCACCUCGUGCAAGAUUAAUCGGUUACGCGCCGACGCGAUUAUCCGUUACGCUCAUCCGUAAUCCGGUCUAUUAAACUCUCCUUCUUAUUUCUCGAUCAUUUCAUCGGUUUAACGGAUCUCCGCAUCAAGUACCCGGCGAUGAAUCACGCUAACCGUUCACGGUGACACUGCUGAUCUCGCCGUGAAUUUGCUUUAUCUUCCGUUGCGAUUUUUCGCGCGUAAUUGGAUUUACGUCGGAUAAACGUUCGGAGACACGAUCCCUUUGUCUGCCAUUUGCGGCGUGACCGUGAUCGCCGCGUACACCCCCUUGGCAAUAUUUUACCCUUCCUGCUCGCACGGACACGGGAAGGAAGCACGAAAAACCUGUUCGCGCGUGACCUUGUAUACGGCGAAUCAUUACUGAAUAACCGAUCAGGGAUAAAAGAAUCUUAAAGCGGGGUGGUGCGUGCGCGCUUGAAGGAAAAGGCGUCUGUGUGGUUUAUCGUUAAGCGGACAGGUCUGCCUAUACAGAGCCGCGUAUAUAAAUGUACCAUACGAUCUUGCUAUCUCCUUCUCUCUCUUCUUCUCCCCCUCCUCCCCUCUCUCCCUCUUUCGUCGAGGAGAUAGAGUGAAACAAAGAGAGAUAGAGAAAUACGAUUCCAUCGCAUACCGAACGGGCCGUAGACAGUCGCACACACCCGUGUUGCAAUUAGACAUUUUUGCAGUCCCGCAGACAGCGGGAGACGGCAAGAUAUGCGGAUGGAACGAUGAGGUAGGGGACGAAGAAGCUGCAGCUCCGGUGUCUGCAAAUGGGGGUUCACGGCUAUACGGGUGUGUGCCAAGGAGUAAACUCGAAUCACGUCCUUGUCGCGAAUUGUUUCGAAGUUAUGUCCAUCGCUCGCGACAUACAAGAAAAUAUAGUAUAAGAAAAUCGCGUGUACAUGUUAAUUUAAUGACAUCUAACUAAGAAGUAAACAAUUAAGAAAUUUAACAAGUGACAUACACGAUGAUAGAAACAUAUACAUAGAAUGAGCAAAAAGUAUCGAACCAACGAAAUAUUUCAAACGCAAGACAUCGAAAAAUCAAUAAUUUAUAAAUUUAUUUUAGCAUAUUUUAACAAAGUAUAAGAUAGAUGAAUUAUUAAUUUUUUAAUUAUUUUACUUUAAUAUUUUUAUAUGGCGAAUAACUAGAGGGUUCAUAUUAUGUAAGAAAUUAUAUGUACAUAUAUAAUUUCUAAAAUCUUUUUAUUUUUCUAAAUAUUUAAUACGUAUUGUUAAAUUUGAUUAUGCUUUAUUAAACAAGAAAAAAUAUUUUCGUUAUAUUAAUUAAAUAUUUAAUUGACAUUAUUUCAGUUAACAUUUGGUAACCAUUACCAAACUUUUUUCAAUGUAUAAAUAUAAUAAUCACAUACUAUGAAAUUACUGUGAAAUUCUUCACAUCAUGGCACAUGAUUGUUUGAUUAAGCUUCCUAGACUACGCGAAGAAUGUGGUGAAACUGAAUAAUUAGCACACCUCGUUUCGUCACCUUUGUAUCAACGAGAUGAUAUCGGAGUUUUAAAGAGCACCGCUGCGUUUAACAGAGCAGAAAGACAGCCGUAAUAGACAAAAAGAGGAAAGGAGGAAGAAUAAGGAUUUCUAUACGCACAGUGUGGUAAAAUACUUUGCGCGCCCGUUCAUCUUGCGACGACGAAUAGCAGUCGUCUCGUGAUGUGCGACGACUCACAUUUUAGGGCGACAAACGUCAGCAACAUGAGAAAUGAAGAAUCGUUUCGUAUAUGGAUCCUCUCUCGAGCGCUAGUCGUGGAAUUCUUUUUCUUGUAGUCCGCGCAGGUCGAGGACCUCACAAAAAUAAAUUCCAAGAAAAUGCUAAUCAAAUGAUACGUCUGGAGGGCAAUGCUCUACGAACUUUGUCAUCUUUCUCGCAUAAUUGAAUUUUUUUUCGUCGGCUUCGCUAUUGUACUAAACCUUUUCUGAUUCGACUGGUACCCAACUGGACAGACCAGAGAAGAUUCUUUUUGCUUUUAUGACGACUGUAUUAAGUAUAGAAAUCCUGAUUGCCUUAUAAGGCAUACAACAGUCAGUGACGUGGCAAAUACCAAAUAAGAAUUUACUUUGUGACUUUCAGAAUAGAUUGAUAGUAUAAAAAGUUAAAUCCGGAUGUAUAUCGCGAGAUCCACGUGUACAACGUGAUUCACGUCAACAUGAUGAUGAAUAUUUAAUAUCAACCUAUGAGCGACCAAGCGACUUUAAUUCAUGCGCAUGCAAACUGUUCCGAAGAUGAGUUUUCUACGAUCUUUGUCGACGCCCGGAAUAAAUUUUGCACCGUGAAGACGUAACAUCAGAAUAUUGGAAACUGAAAUGCGGUAUAAAUUUAUGCAUCAUGUACAUCAUGAGUAUAAUUGCAAAAUAAUUUGUGAAACUCAGAAACUUAUAAUACAUUAUAUUCUCAUAAUACAUUAUAUUCUCAUCUAAAUUAUGAUUAGAGAUAUACAUAAUACAGUUUUAACAUAAACUUCUAAUAUUAAUAUAAUCAAGAGAGUGGAGCCUUAAAAUUAAUAUCAAAUAAAUUCACUGAAAAACUAUAAAUGUUUGGUGGAUGUAAUCAAAAAUAAUUUUAUUUUUUUAAAUAUUUAGUAAGUAUCAAAAUUUAAUUAUAACUUAUACUCACUAAACAUUUAGAAAAUUACAAUUAUUUUUAAUUAUAUUAAACAUUCAGUGAACAUUAUAUUACUCAACAUUUGGUAGUUAUUAUCAAACUUUUUUUCAGUGUACAAAAAUCAUGAACAUACUACUUUGAUUAAUAUAAGUGAAACUGUGUAAUAAAAAUGAAGAAACAGUACUUCCUCGCGUGUUACCAAAUUUGGAAAAGGAGACAUCAAUUAUCUUUAAUUCAAGCGUUUUCGGUUAGGCCAUUUGUGACAUUAUUUCGUCAACGUUUCAUAAUAAAAUUUUGCAAUCUUCAUUGGAGACAUUUCGCGUAAACGAGCCAAGGCGAGUAAAUCAUCAGACCGGUCCAUGUGGCUAAUUUGUUUCACAGAUUAAGGAAACACCCGAUUGUCUAAAGUCUCGGACACACACCGUUACUCGACCGUUACUCGAAACAAUCGCGAAGCCAAUGGGAUGCCGGCGACGAACGCGUAGGUGUCACGAUAUUCCGCGGCGACACAACAUCGAAUUGACGUGCGCGGAAUCUGUAGUACGUCACGAAUUCUGGCUGAAUGCAAGAGGCGAUACCGUCGUGCAGAAAAAGGAUAAGAAGGAUCGAUUGCACCGCGCGGCUGGGCUUUCCUUUCUCUUAAUCUUUAUUGGAAGAGGACGCAAUCGUCCACGCGAAGUAUUUCGCAUAUUCUCGUCUUCGUUUCGACAAAGUUGGACCGACGCCGGCUUGCAUUUCCAAGCGCUGUUGCACUUUUUUUUAACAGUCCCCGUACCCGAAGUUUCGGGUGAUCGGACUUUGGGGACUCUUCUUCGGGACGGCAGACGUCGUACGGGGCGCAGAAGGUCCAGACAAGUCGCGAAUGAAUUGCAACAUCGCAGCAUACGGUCAGCCAAUUAAAGAUCGGCCGUGUAACCGAUCGCGCGCCUCGUCCCAUUUUGCUACUCGUGUUACGUUAUGAGAAUCGUGUGUAUGCGCCGCGUGUGCGCCAUUCGUAAGUGUGACGGCGAAUUCUUUUCUCCUUUUUUUUUUUUCAUUUUUUGUUCGAGUUAAGAGUUAUCGCGGUAAAAACGACCGCAAUGUCUCUCGCGAAGAAAAGACACGUUCUAUCUCUUUCCCUCUCUUUCUCUCUCUCUCACCUUUAUUCUCAGAGAACAUACGGAGCACGCUUACGAGCACGUAUGCAUACGUACGCGAGCGAGAUGAAAAUCGAGGCUUCGCUGCAAAAACUGUGAUGAUUCACUAUGAGAAGUCACGUUUUUUAUGAAACAAACGGUGUUAUGCGCGGAAUCCAGCAGAUGGGACAAUGUUACGGGGUGUCAAAGUGAUAUACGGAUGCGUAUGAUGUGGUAUCUUAAUUUUCGAUAUGCGACAGCCGCGGAAUUGCGAGCCGUGAAAUUAUAAAUGAAAAUUGACGUUACAUAAAAAAAGUUAAUUUCCUCGAUGAAAUAUCAGCGGAUUGCGUGAAUAAUAUUUACGAUAUAUGACUCUUGAUUAUAUACGCAGAAAAAUAUUCUCGUGCUGAGAAAAGCAAUUGCUCAACUUUUAAUUUUCUUUUUUUAAGUAACGAUUAUUUCUUUACAAAGAACAUUUAAUUAAUAAUAAUUUUAAAAUAUAUAUUCAUCAUUUAUUUAAAUUAAACUUCUAUGUAUACACAAGAAAAAUGCAUAUUUUAAAUUAUAAAUUAAGUAAAUAUUACUUAUUUCAAUAUUUCACAAGUUCAUAUAUUUAAAAAUCACUCUAUCAUAAAUUUGUCAAAUUUAGUCAAAAUAUUCUGGAAUAUUUUGCAGCAAUUUGUGAUAACAUUAAUGCAAUAUUUACAAUAAUGGAGUUGCGAGCGUAUGUUCAAGAGGAAUGCUAGAAGUAACGAUUGAUGAAGAGUGAAAAUGACAACACCAUAAGAUCGCGUGAGUGCUUAGUAGGUCGUGUGAACGAAGUCUUGCAAAUUCCCAUAUAAUCGCAUACGGAAGAAAAGUGGUAUUUGACCACGUGUUUGUGCAUAAAUUACAAUUUGCAAAUCUUUUUUCCUCAGAAAAUGCUGUAAUCACGUAAGCUGACAUAAUGGUUCGGAACGGCUGGUAUCCAUUAUCGUGUAUGGAUAGUUUCCGACAUUUUACAUUCAUUUUAAAGUGCAGUAAAAUCAGACAGCGACAUGAUUAUACAACUGAAAGGUAUAAAUAAAUAUUUUUUUAAUCAAGUAUAUUCGGUAGAAAUAACGUACAUAAUAAAUAAUCACUUUCUCGUAAUGAUAAUAAUUAUAUAUGAUUCUUACUAAAGUUUAAUUCCUAGAAAUUAUGUAGCAAGUUAACAAAAAAUUUUCAGUGUAAAUUUACACCGAAAUUUUAUCAAAAAAAUUAUAUACACAUAUCACGCCACGAUUUUACUUUCCGCAUACCUUCCUCUGUGCGUGGGACUGUAUUUUAAAGCGUCUUCAGCUGCAUUUUGUCUUGUUAAAAAUUUCAAAACUGGAUUUUGCUCGCAUGUAAAACAGGAUUUUAUGAAGUAUGUAAAUAUUAUACUUUAGGUGUGUAUAUGUGUGCGUGUAUGGCUACUACCUUGCUGUUGUAGGUACCUAACCGUGAACUUGAAGAGCUGCAUUUUGACGUAAGCAUUUCUGCAUACCUAAAUCGUCAUCGGGAAUUCCCCAAAAUUCCCGCGAAUAAAAUAAAAUAUCUCGUACGCUAGCUCAUCGCCGUCGCGCCGCUGUUGCUAGCAGGAUACGACGGGUACCGGGUAUCGGGUAUUAUAAAAAAUACAACCAGGAACCGGAUAGAGCGGUUCGAACAGAAUUGGUUUAUCUCUACCAGGAUUAACCUUGGCUAUAGAUCGUUGACUCGGGUGACAGGUAAUACUUGAGAAAUUACAGUCACGUUUGUAAUAUAGAAAAGUAUAUUUCAUUAUUAACGUGCGAAAUACCAGACCUAUAGUGCAAACGUACUUGCGGAAAUCUUUAAUGAAAUCUUUAACCUAUCGCGUUUAUAGGGAUUAACGUAGAUAACCUUUGGAAUAACAGUACAUCGACUGCGAGCGUAUAUUUCGCUCCGAGCGAGCCUAAUGACGUUCCACAUUAUAAACACACCUAUAAAAUAUUCACUAUGAGAUAUUAAAAUCCUAUUCAAGUUAUCUCCGAUCUUGUAAUCGGCCUGAUCGCGCAUCCGCGCUGCUUUUUCGGGUGCGACUAUCGCGUCAAUGUUUCAAAUGGCCCCCAGCGUUAAUGCGGACGCAAUCUUAAAAAUGCAAUCGCUGCAGAUAACUGAGAAACGCCCGAGAAAGCUCACGCGAGUAAAACUUAUCAUUGUUUUGAGACCGCGUUUUCUUCAACGUUUGUCGGGAACCUACACGCCCGAACGGAGCCCGAGCUCGUUAAUCAUCG
This 17271-nucleotide long non-coding RNA is filed under the name Monomorium pharaonis (pharaoh ant). Its description in RNAcentral is "uncharacterized LOC118644681". Lineage: Eukaryota; Metazoa; Arthropoda; Insecta; Hymenoptera; Formicidae. The record is from RNAcentral.